GGACGGGUGGCGGAACUGGUAGACGCGUACGGCUUAGGACCGUAUGCCGUAAGGCGUAAGGGUUCGAGUCCCUUCCCGUCCA
Molecule: non-coding RNA, 82 nt
Organism: Elusimicrobia bacterium GWA2_56_46
Lineage: Bacteria; Pseudomonadati; Elusimicrobiota
Source: Rfam